RNAcentral lists this ribosomal RNA (458 nucleotides) under uncultured bacterium. Its description in RNAcentral is "partial 16S ribosomal RNA". It matches the Rfam family "Bacterial small subunit ribosomal RNA", at positions 338 to 795 of the family's 1533-position model. The record is from RNAcentral.
CCUACGGGUGGCAGCAGUGAGGAAUAUUGGUCAAUGGGCGAGAGCCUGAACCAGCCAAGUCGCGUGAGGGAGUACUGCCCUAUGGGUUGUAAACCUCUUUUGUCGGGGAGCAAAAGCCGGACGUGUCCGGCUGUGAGAGUACCCGAAGAAAAAGCAUCGGCUAACUCCGUGCCAGCAGCCGCGGUAAUACGGAGGAUGCGAGCGUUAUCCGGAUUUAUUGGGUUUAAAGGGUGCGCAGGCGGAUUUUUAAGUCAGCGGUAAAAUCGUGGGGCUCAACCCCAUCCAGCCGUUGAAACUGGGGAUCUAGAGUGUGCGAGAGGUAUGCGGAAUGUGUGGUGUAGCGGUGAAAUGCAUAGAUAUCACGCAGAACCCCGAUUGCGAAGGCAGCAUACCGGUGCACAACUGACGCUCAGGCACGAAAGCGUGGGUAUCGAACAGGAUUAGAUACCCCAGUAGUC